This 435-nucleotide ribosomal RNA is filed under the name uncultured bacterium. Its description in RNAcentral is "partial 16S ribosomal RNA". It matches the Rfam family "Bacterial small subunit ribosomal RNA", at positions 29 to 507 of the family's 1533-position model. The record is from RNAcentral.
AACGAACGCUGGCGGCAUGCCUAACACAUGCAAGUCGAACGAUUGCCUUCGGGUGAUAGUGGCGCACGGGUGCGUAACGCGUGGGAAUCCUCCCGUAGGUUCGGAAUAACAGCUGGAAACGGCUGCUAAUACCGGAUGAUUACGCGAGUUCAAAGAUUUAUCGCCUGAGGAUGAGCCCGCGUUGGAUUAGGUAGUUGGUGGGGUAAAGGCCUACCAAGCCGACGAUCCCUAGCUGGUCUGAGAGGAUGAUCAGCCACACUGGGACUGAGACACGGCCCAGACUCCUACGGGAGGCAGCAGUGGGGAAUAUUGGACAAUGGGCGCAAGCCUGAUCCAGCAAUGCCGCGUGAGUGAUGAAGGCCCUAGGGUUGUAAAGCUCUUUUACCCGGGAAGAUAAUGACUGUACCGGGAGAAUAAGCCCCGGCUAACUCCGUG